CGGACCAAGGAGUCUAGCAUGUGCGCGAGUCAAUCGGGACGAUUGUUAAACCCGGAGGCGAAAUGAAAGUGAAAGGCGGGCCUCGAGCCCGUCGCAGGGAAGAUGCGCGGGCGGCGUCAGCCGCCCCGCCGCAUUCCCGAGGCGUUUCGAGAAAGCCACCGUGUGAUUAUCGAGACGCACUGAGAGCGUACACGCUGGGACCCGAAAGAUGGUGAACUAUGCCUGGUCAGGUCGAAGUCAGGGGAAACCCUGAUGGAGGACCGAAGCGAUUCUGACGUGCAAAUCGAUCGUCCGAACUGGGUAUAGGGGCGAAAGACUAAUCGAACUAUCUAAUAGCUGGUUCCAUCCGAAG
Molecule: ribosomal RNA, 352 nt
Filed under: Lepidostoma caffrariae
Lineage: Eukaryota; Metazoa; Arthropoda; Insecta; Trichoptera; Lepidostomatidae
Description: eukaryotic LSU rRNA
Rfam family: Eukaryotic large subunit ribosomal RNA
Source: RNAcentral